CAAUAAGCGGAGGAAAAGAAACCAACAGGGAUUGCCUCAGUAACGGCGAAGUGAAGCGGCAAGAGCUCAAAUUUGAAAGCUGGCCCCCUCGGGGUCCGCGUUGUAAUUUGCAGWAGGAUGCUUCGGGUGCAGCCCCCGUCUAAGUGCCCUGGAACGGGCCGUCAUAGAGGGUGAGAAUCCCGUCUGGGACGGGGUGUCUGCGUCCGUGUGAAGCUCCUUCGACGAGUCGAGUUGUUUGGGAAUGCAGCUCUAAAUGGGUGGUAAAUUUCAUCUAAAGCUAAAUACUGGCCGGAGACCGAUAGCGCACAAGUAGAGUGAUCGAAAGAUGAAAAGCACUUUGAAAAGAGAGUUAAACAGCACGUGAAAUUGUUGAAAGGGAAGCGUUUGCGACCAGACUCGCCCGCGGGGUUCAGCCGGCAUUCGUGCCGGUGUACUUCCCCGUGGGCGGGCCAGCGUCGGUUUGGGCGGCCGGUCAAAGGCCCUCGGAAUGUAUCACCCCCCGGGGUGUCUUAUAGCCGAGGGUGCAAUGCGGCCUGCCCGGACCGAGGAACGCGCUUCGGCUCGGACGCUGGCGUAAUGGUCGUAAAUGACCCGUCUUGAAACACGGACCAAGGAGUCUAACAUCUACGCGAGUGUUCGGGUGUCAAACCCGUACGCGCAGUGAAAGCGAACGGAGGUGGGAGCCCCCUCGUGGGGCGCACCAUCGACCGAUCCUGAUGUCUUCGGAUGGAUUUGAGUACGAGCGUAGCUGUGGGGACCCGAAAGAUGGUGAACUAUGCCUGAAUAGGGCGAAGCCAGAGGAAACUCUGGUGGAGGCUCGCAGCGGYUCUGACGUGCAAAUCGAUCGUCGAAUUUGGGUAUAGGGGGCGAAAGACUAAUCGAACCAUCUAGUAGCUGGUCUGC
This 903-nucleotide ribosomal RNA is filed under the name Aspergillus stramenius. RNAcentral describes it as "LSU rRNA". It matches the Rfam family "Eukaryotic large subunit ribosomal RNA", at positions 44 to 959 of the family's 3401-position model. Lineage: Eukaryota; Fungi; Ascomycota; Eurotiomycetes; Eurotiales; Aspergillaceae. The record is from RNAcentral.